GCGCUCGCCUCAGCAGCACAUAUACUAAAAUUGGAACAAUACAGAGAAGAUUAUCAUGGCCCUGUGCAAGGAUGAUAUGCAGAUGCAUGGAGUAUUGCCUGUUUUU
Molecule: small nuclear RNA, 106 nt
Filed under: Catagonus wagneri (Chacoan peccary)
Lineage: Eukaryota; Metazoa; Chordata; Mammalia; Artiodactyla; Tayassuidae
Source: RNAcentral